This 73-nucleotide transfer RNA is filed under the name Enterococcus columbae. Its description in RNAcentral is "tRNA-Val". It matches the Rfam family "tRNA". Rfam says of the family: Transfer RNA (tRNA) molecules are approximately 80 nucleotides in length. Their secondary structure includes four short double-helical elements and three loops (D, anti-codon, and T loops). RNAcentral also lists the same sequence under 1 other name. The record is from RNAcentral. Lineage: Bacteria; Bacillati; Bacillota; Bacilli; Lactobacillales; Enterococcaceae.
GGAGAUUUAGCUCAGCUGGGAGAGCAUCUGCCUUACAAGCAGAGGGUCAGCGGUUCGAUCCCGUUAAUCUCCA